UUUGGAAUCUUGGACAAUGGGGGCAACCCUGAUCCAGCGACGCCGCGUGUGUGAUGAAGGCCUUCGGGUUGUAAAGCACUUUUGUCUGUGAAGAUAAUGACGGUAACAGACGAAUAAGCCCCGGCUAACUUCGUGCCAGCAGCCGCGGUAAUACGAAGGGGGCUAGCGUUGUUCGGAAUUACUGGGCGUAAAGCGCGUGUAGGUGGCGCCGAAAGUUAGAUGUGAAAGCCCUGAGCUCAACUCGGGAAUUGCAUUUAAAACUACGGUGCUAGAGUACGGCAGGGGAUAGUAGAAUACCCAGUGUAGAGGUGAAAUUCGUAGAUAUUGGGUGGAAUACCAAUGGCGAAGGCAGCUAUCUGGGCCGUAACUGACACUGAGACGCGAAAGCGUGGGUAGCAAACAGGAUUAGAUACCCCAGUAGUCCCUGAGCGGGCUGGCAAGGCGCAU
RNAcentral lists this ribosomal RNA (447 nucleotides) under uncultured bacterium. RNAcentral's name for it is "bacterial SSU rRNA". It matches the Rfam family "Bacterial small subunit ribosomal RNA", at positions 355 to 825 of the family's 1533-position model. The record is from RNAcentral.